This 458-nucleotide ribosomal RNA is filed under the name uncultured Glomus. RNAcentral describes it as "SSU rRNA". It matches the Rfam family "Eukaryotic small subunit ribosomal RNA", at positions 569 to 1031 of the family's 1831-position model. Lineage: Eukaryota; Fungi; Glomeromycota; Glomeromycetes; Glomerales; Glomeraceae. The record is from RNAcentral.
AGCAGCCGCGGUAAUUCCAGCUCCAAUAGCGUAUAUUAAAGUUGUUGCAGUUAAAAAGCUCGUAGUUGAAUUUCGAGAUCAAAUUGUUGGUCGUGCCUCGGUACGUACUGGCAAUUUUGGUUUCUCCCUUCUGAAGAACCAUGAUGUCAUUAAUUUGGUGUCAUGGGGAAUCAGGACUGUUACUUUGAAAAAUUAGAGUGUUUAAAGCAGGCUCGCGCUUGAAUACAUUAGCAUGGAAUAAUGAAAUAGGACGUUUGAUUCUAUUUUGUUGGUUUCUAGGAUCGACGUAAUGAUUAAUAGGGAUAGUUGGGGGCAUUAGAUUCAAUUGUCAGAGGUGAAAUUCUUGGAUUUAUUGAAGACUAACUACUGCGAAAAGCAUUUGCCAAGGAUGUUUUCAUUAAUCAAGAACGAAAAGUUAGGGGAUCGAAGACGAUACAGAUACCGUCGUAGUCUUAACC